CAUCACAAGGUAAUGCUUUAAAAUAAAGAACAUUAUUAAAGAAAGCAUUAGUCGAACCAACUUCAUUAUCAAAUGAAAAGGUGAAACCUUGUUUAUACAAUGCAUGAAAGGAAAUAAUAUUUCUUGUCAUUGCUGGCGAAUAACAACAUUUAUUCAAAUCUAAACUAAACCCACUACUUACCAGUCCACAUCUCGUGAGGAGUUUUGGCAACUUUCUUUGUAGGGACUAGAUUAAGAAUAUGGGCGGCAGUCUCUAGGGCAUACCCCCAGAAUGAGAUUGGUAGCGUAGCUUGACUCAUCAUGGAACGAACCAUAUCCAACAAGGUUCGAUUACGCCUCUCAGCCACACCAUUCAUCUGUGGUGUCCUGGGAGGUGUCAAUUGUGAGACUAUCCCACAUUCCCUUAGAUAGUCGAGGAACUCUGAACUAAGAUACUCACCACCACGAUCGGAUCGAAGCAUCUUAAUGUUCCUGCCCAAUUGAUUCUCGACUUCCUGUUUAAAUUCCUUAAACCUCUCGAAAGUCUCUGACUUAUGCUUGAUCAAGUAGACAUAUCCAUAUCUACUAUAAUCAUCAGUAAAAGUCAAAUAAUAACGAUUAGCAUCCCUUGUGGCAUGUUUGAAUGGUCCACACACAUCCGUGUGUAUAAGGUCCAACAAACCUUCACCCCUCUCACACGAACCUGUGAAGGGUGACUUUGUCAUUUUUCCAAGUAAGCAUGAUUCGCAACUAUCAUCUGACUUUAGGUCAAACGACUCCAAGACUCCAUCCUUUUGGAGUUGGCCUAUGCGUUUCUUGCUUAUAUGUCCAAGACGACAAUGCCAUAAAGAUGCUUUAUCCAAGUUAUUAUUAGUAGAAUCAAUACACAAAACAUUAUUUCCCAAGUUAUCUACAACAGAUACAGCUUCAUACACACCAUCACAAGGUAAUGCUUUAAAAUAAAAGACAUUAUUAUAGAAAACAUCUAUAGAACCAACUUCAUUAUUAAAUGAAAAGGUAAACCCUUGUUUGUACAAAGCAUGAAAGGAAAUAAUAUUUCUUGCCAUUCCUGGCGAAUAACAACACUUAUUCAAAUCUAAACUAAACCCACUACUUAGCGAUAAAGUAUAAACUCCAAUCUUGGUGACAGGUAAACCAUUCCCAUUCCUUAUGAUUAAGUUUAUUCUUCCAUGCUCCACAUUCUCACUUCUUCUUAGUCCCUGCAAAUCAGAACAUAUAUGAAUACCACAACUGGUAUGAAGGACCCAAUAGUUAGCAUUGGGUGAGUUAUUAGAUAAGAUAGUGUAGAUACCUGCAUGGUUUGGUUUUACUUUCCCAUCCUUCACAUCUUUCUGGUACUUUGGGCGGUUCCGCUUCCAAUGUGACUUUUCGUGAAGACGAUGUAGUGACGAAAACUUUCUUGGUUCCACUUGAAGAAGAGCCACCAAGGGUCCUAGCCUUGGUACCCUUCGGAGAGCUCUUUCUCUUCUUCCCUCUACCUUUCCUGAUUUCCAAGACAGGGGCAGAGUUUGGAGUAGGAGUGUUAACAGCUGACUUACCUUUAAGACCUGUUUCUACGGUCUUGAGGAGUCCCUGAAGUUUGCUGAGUGUGACCUCUUCCUUAUUCAUGUGAUUUGUCAUGCGGAAUUGAUACUAGGACGAGGGUAAGGAGUGCAAAAUGAUAUCUAUUUCAAGCUCCUCAGGGAAGUUCACAUUAAGCUUCACCAAACGAUCGAAAUACCUUUGCAUUUUCUGCAUGUGACUCGUGACGGAUUCUUCGUCCUUCAUCAUGGUUGUUAUGAUGGAGCAGAUGAUUUCAUACCUCUCUUGUCGUGCACUUUGAUGGUAUCUUUCCAUCAGAUCUGGGUGCAUUUCAAAAGGGUAGAAGUCCUCAUACGACUUUUGGAGUUCUGUUGUCAUGGUGGCCAACAUGAUGCAUGCCACUUUGGUAGAAUCCAUUUCAUGUGCCCGGAAGUCAGUGAUCUCCUGGUAAGUUGCAGUGGUCUCAUCAAUAUGCUUAAGCUCCUUAUCAAGGACAUAUUCUUUGUCCUCGUAGCGGGUAAUCAUCCUGAUGUUUCUGAUCCAUUCAUUGAAGUUGGAUCCAUCAAAGUGACUUUCCCACACAAGUUCAUAAGGGUAAAGGAGCCAUUAGGAUUAGAGCCAGAAGCAGCAUUGUUUGAAGACAUCUGAAAGAAGAGGACUAGUUAGUUUAGAUAUUAAGAGAGUCCUUAAUAAGAUACCUAAAUGUAAUAUUAAGGCAAGGAUCCAAUCAGAAUAUAUUAUAACUUUUCAAAGGCAUGUUUCAAUCUCGAGUGUGCCCUCCAAGUUUUGUGACUGGGAUACCGACGAUCACAAAACGAGUUGUGAAGUAACCAUGCAAAUCACUUGGUACCCUUAAAUUUUAUCACUCAAUCGAUGUGUCGAUAAGCCACACACGCUCCACCGAUACUAUGAUAAACCUUAAGUCACCCUUUACCUACCUUGUUAAGUCCAAGUUAGUGUGCCGGUUAACCACACACGCUCCACCAACGACUUAAACAAAGUGUAAAGUGUAAUUUCAUGGAUUAGCAUGUUAUUCACAUUUUUCCUAAAGUAACUAAUAUUGGGAAUUUAAUAAAAGAAUUUAGUUGCUUUAUAAUAUUCAUCAUACUUUUAAUGAGAAUUUAUAAGUCCUUGUCCUACCCAUUCGGCUAACGACCCUUCACCGAUCAAGGAAGCGGUGGGUGAGAGUGGACACCCAUUAAGUUGCCAUUUUAUAAGCAACAACCUUAUACCCCCAUAUAGAUCGGCUUCGUGAAAGAGGCGUACUAGCGGUAAGACGGCUUGAUCUUAUACAUAUAUAUAUAUAUAUAUAUAUAUAUANNNNNNNNNNNNAUAUAUAUAUAUAUAUAUAUAUAUAUAUUAUUCACUUAUAAUAUUAUAAGUGUAAGGGUUGAUUUUUAACUUUUAAAAAUCUAAGGGUUGGAACUAUAGUUUAUUAAGUGACUUUACUGGCUCCAAAACUUGAGGGCAAGUUUUGUAACUUUACGAAACCUUUCAUAUUCAUAACAUAUGAGUUAUUAAAAUGAAGACUCUUCAUUUUAUAACUUAUGUGUUCUUUUAAUGGCUUUUAACACAAAGAUACUUUUGGUUAUCCAUAACAUGAGGACAAGUUAUGGACUUCAUUAAAACACAUGAAGAUCGUGAAUUAAUCAUAUAAACAAGUAACUCCUAUGAUCUAUCAAGAACUCAUAAGAACAUGAAUAUUCAUAUCAACAUUUUAAGAACAUAUGAACACAUAUAAUCAUGAUAAAUUGAUAUUAGCCAUUGUAAAUGGAUUAGAACAACCAUUACUCCAUCUAAAACAAGUUUUAUAACACCAAAACAGUUUAGGGUAAUGUUUCUAGUCCAUUUCCAACAACACAAAUCGAAUUUCUACAUUCUACGUGGCCAAGUCGUUGAGUGCACGAACAGACUCGCCGAAUUGGGCCGGUUAACCACACACGCUCCAUCGAUACUAUGAUAAACAUUAAGUUACCCUUUGCCUACCUUGCUAAAUACGAGUUAGUGUGCCGGUUAACCACACACGCUCCACUAACCGACUUAAACAAAGUGCAAAGUGUAAUUUCAUGGAUUAGCACCUUAUUCACAUUUUCCUAAGUAACUAAGAUUGGGUAUNCUAAGAAACUAGGAUUGGGUAUUUAUAAAAGGUUUAGUUAUUUAGUAUUUAUCAUUAUUACUUUUAAUGAAGGGAGAAUUAUAGUCCUUGUCAUACCCGUCCGGCUAACGACCCUGCACCGAUCAAGGAAGCGGUGGGUGAGAGUGGACACCCAUUAAAAUGUCAUUUUAUAGGCAGUAACCUUAUACCCCCCUUAUAGACCAACUUCGUGAAUAAGGCAUACUAACAGUAAAACUGACUUUGUUCUUAUACGUAUAUAAGUAUUAACUAUUAAUAUUAUAAUAGUAUAAGGGUUUAUUUUAAACAUUUAAAAUACAUGGUCGUUUAAUCUAUUGAUUAAACUAUACUCUUAAUUUAAUUAAACUUAAACCAUGUCUUUAUGAAAUUAUUAACUCUUUUAAAUAGACAAUAUAAUUAAUUUAAUGAAGUCCAUAAAGUUUGAAGAUUAAGUUUUUAAAAUUCUUGGGUUUGUAAUUAAAGUGUAUAUGGGGUAAGACUUACAAAUUCCAAAACAUGAGGACAAGUUUUGAACAAUUCAAAAAACUUAUGGUUUCUAUAACUUAUGAAUUUUAAAGUGGUUUAAUGGAAAAAACUGAUGGGUUUUGAGCAUUCUAACACUUCCUAAGUGUACAUUCAAACCUAAUAACCUUGGAUCUAUGUUUGUCUAAUUAUCAUGAAAGGUUGAAUUCUAAGGUUAUAUUCCUAUCUAGCAUACAUGGGGAACAAUUUUUAACUUGAAUGAAAGAUAGAAUAACUUACCUUGUUGUUGCUUAUGUUCCUUGAAACCUUGUGAGGCUAGCACCCCAAGUGUGAUGCCUCAAAUGCUUCACAUAACACCAAAUGCUCUUGGAAAGACUUUUGAGAGAAUACACACUUCUUAAAAUUAGCCUAGCCCUCUUGUUUCAUAUGUCCAACCAAAUUUGGUGGAGAAUGGAACAAUUAUAUAGUGUUGAAACAUCUAGCAUUACACCAUGUAAACCCUAAUGUGUCAUGACUCUUCAUUUCCAUGACCCAUGGGUUUGUAACUCCCAUGGAGCAUCCUAUGGGUGGAACCCAACUUGAUAAUCCAUGGAGCCUCUUAGUCCACUAUACAAUAUAUGGAUGAUUUACAUAAUCAACCCAUAUAUUUAAUUAGUUAUCUUUUGAUCACUUAAUUAAUUCUAAAUUAAUUCUUGAUCAAACUAAUCAAAUAAUAUUAUUAAUAUAUUAGAACUUAUAAUAUAUUAAUAAUCUCCAAGUGUUAUUUCUCUCAUUUAGUCUAUCCAAUUGCAUGGUGCCAUGCAACCCAAAUGGACCAUGUCAGGUCGGGUCAAGUACUUACCAGAAAUAGUUAUGGACUUAGACACCUUAUCCAACAAAAAGCCUUCAAGUUCCAUAACUUGUAGACAAGUAAUGGAAGACUUUAAAAGCAUUAAAAAAUGUGACUCUUCAUUUUCUCAUAACUUAUGGAAAUUUUAUGAGUUUUAAAAUUCAUAAAUGUGACUUUUCAUGUAUCUUGAGGACAAGUUACAAAAACACAUAUUAUGAACAACUUCAAGAUUAAUUUGGAUUGAAAACAACUUUCUCAUAUUUUUUCCUAUUAAUCUAAACAAACUCAUAUACAUAAACAUUCAUAAUCAACAUUUUUCAAGCAUCAUAUAUGAUAUUACCGUCUCACAAUCACUCGAGAUAAAUUCCAUGAAGUGAUUCCAGUGAGCGUGGGUUGAGUCCAAUGCUCAAUACUAAUGAGCACUCAUGAUUGUUGUAGCCAUGUCCAACACCUUAGACCUCUGCACCCAAUCAUGGCAGUCUUGAUUCAUACCUACUUCCGACAUAUGACCGACUGUGGAGGUUUGAAUAAUAUGAUAUGCCAAACAUAAUUAGUCUGGAAGUCAAAACAUGCAAAAGAAACAUAGUAAACGAUCGACAAGAGAUAGCAACACUUUACUCAUAAAUAAAACACCUUUUAUUCAUCAUCUAAUGUCAAUUACACUUUACAAAUUUCGAGGUUAUCUAACUGCUAAAUCUAAUAUCAUGCUUCAGCCCUAUCCUCCGAGCAUGCUAGAGAUGCUUAACCCGAGUUAGUCCCUUCGUGAGGGGAUCUGCUGGGUUCUCAUCCGAUGAUACCCUCUUUGCCACGAGGAGUCCUUCUUCUAUCCAAUGUCUGAUAAAAUGGUAUUUUCUGUUGAUGUGUCUGGAUCUCCCGUGAUCCCUUGGUUCCUUGGCUAAGGCAACAGCACUUUCACUAUCACAGAAAAUUUCCAUUGGCUCUUUANUCUAUUACACCUCCAAGUUCUCCAAUGAAGUUCUUCAGUCAUAUCGCCUCCUUUGCUUCCUCGCUAGCUGCAAUAUACUAUGAUUCACAAGUUGAAUCGGCCACUGUUUCUUGCUUGGAACUCUUCCAAGAAAUUGCUCCUCCGUUUAGGGUAAAUACCCAGCCUGACUGAGAGCGAAAAUUAUCCCUAUCAGUCUGAAAGCUAGCAUCACUAUACCCUACAACCCUCAAGUGAGCACUCCCACCGAAGGUAAGGACCCAGUCCUUAGUUCUCCGUAGGUACUUGAGGAUAUUCUUUACCGCAGUCCAAUGUGCCUUGCCAGGGUUCCCCUGAUACCUGCUAACCAUGCUCAGGGCAAAGGCUACAUCAGGUCGAGUACACGUCAUAGCAUACAUGAUCGAUCCUACAGCCGAAGCAUAAAGUAUUUGACUCAUUUCUGCUAUCUCAACCUCAGUGCUAAGGCUUUGUGUCUUACUCAAUAUAGCGUUACUCUGGAUGGGCAACUCUCCUUUUUUGGAGUCCUGCAUGCUGAAUCUCUUCAGCGCCUUAUCCAAGUAGGUACUCUGACUAAGUCCAUUUAGUCUUUUACUCCGGUCUGUCAAGAUCCUUAUCCCUAGAAUAUAGGCAGCUUCUCCUAGGUCCUUCAUAGAGAAACACUUCCCAAGCCAGGACUUAACUUCCUGCAGAGUUGGGAUGUCAUUUCCUAUGAGUAGUAUGUCAUCCACAUACAAUACNAUGUCGUUUCCUAUGAGUAGUAUGUCAUCCACAUACAAUACCAAAAAGCUAACUAUACUCCCACUAGCCUUGACAUACACACAAGAUUCAUCUUCACUCCUAGAAAAGCCAAAUUCCUUGACCUUCUCAUCAAAGCAAAGAUUCCAUCUGUGAGGUGCUUGCUUUAAUCCAUAAAUGGAUUUCUCAAGCUUACACACUCUAUUAGGGUACUCGUUGCUGACAAAACCUUCUGGCUGACUCAUGUAAACAUCUUCAGCCAAAUUUCAAUUAAGGAAAGCGGUUUUGACAUCUAUUUGCCAUAUUUCAUAGUCAUGAAAUGCAGCUAUGGCUAACAGAACCCUAAUAGACUUAAUCUUGGCCACUGGAGAAAAGGUCUCAUCAUAAUCAACUCUUGGAGUUUGUGAGAAUCCCUUUGCAACCAGUCGAGCCUUAUAAGUGUGUACUUUACCAUCCAUUUUGGUCUUAUUCUUGAAGAUCCAUUUGCACCCUACUGUCUCACGACCUGGUACAUUCACAACCAAGUUCCAAACUUGAUUGUCAUACAUGGACUGUAUCUCGCUGUCCAUUGCCUCUUUCCACUUGGCUGACUCACGGCCUGCCAUGGCUUGCACGUAACUGUUAGGUUCAUACAGACCUAUCAGUUUCUCAUCACUGAUAAGUGUAUCACCUUCUACAGUAAUAUGGAAUCCAUAGUAAUGCUCAGGUGCAUUCCUAACCCUUGUGGAACGCCUCAAAGGUAUAGACUUGUCAAUUGCCUCAACAUGAGUUUCCUCCUCAAGUUGAGUGCUAGGGUUUGAAGUUCCUUCACCACUUGACUCUUGAAUUUCUUCAAGAUCAACUUGCCUCCCACUGUCUCCAUGGCUUAUAAACUCUCCCUCUCUCUAAAGAAAGCCCUCCAAGCUACACAGACCACAUUUUCACUGUCUCCAUGGCUUAUAAACUCUCCCUCUCUCUAAAGAAAGCCCUCCAAGUAACUGUUAGGUUCAUACAGACCUAUCAGUUUCUCAUCACUGAUAAGUGUAUCACCUUCUACAGUAAUAUGGAAUCCAUAGUAAUGCUCAGGUGCAUUCCUAACCCUUGUGGAACGCCUCAAAGUUAUAGACUUGUCAAUUGGCUCAACAUGAGUUUCCUCCUCAAGUUGAGUGCUAGGGUUUGAAGUUCCUUCACCACUUGACUCUUGAAUUUCUUCAAGAUCAACUUGCGUCCCACUGUCUCCAUGGCUUAUAAACUCUCCCUCUCUCUAAAGAAAGCCCUCCAAGCUACACAGACCACAUUUUCACUAGGUCUGUAGAAGAGGUACCAAAGGAUUGUUGUGGGUAGCCGAUGAAAAUACACCUCUUGCUUUGAGGUUCGAGCUUAUCAUGAGUCUCGUGUCUCACAAAAGCCUCGUAACCCCAAAUCUUAAUGUGGUCUAGUUUGGGUAAUUUACCAGUCCACAUCUCAUGAGGAGUUUUGGCAACUUUCUUUGUAGGUGCUAGAUUAAGGAUAUGGGCAGCAGUCUCUAAGGCAUACCCACAGAAUGAGAUUGGUAGCGAAGCUCGACUCAUCAUGGAACGAACCAUAUCCAACAAGGUUCGAUUACGCCUCUCAGGCACACCAUUCAACUGUGGUGUCCUGGGAGGUGUCAAUUGUGAAACAAUCCCACAUUCCCUAAGAUAGUGGAGGAACUCUGAACUAAGAUAGUCACCACCUCGAUCUGAUCAAAGCAUCUUAAUGUUCCUGCCCAAUUGAUUCUUGACUUCCUGUUUAAACUCUUUAAACCUUUCAAAAGUCACUUACUUAUGCUUGAUUAAGUAGACAUAUCCAUAUCUACUCAAAUCAUCAGUGAAAGUCAAAUAAUAACGGUUUGCAUCACCUGUGGCAUGUUUGAAGGGCCCACACACAUCCGUGUGUACAAGAUCCAACAAACCUUCACCCCUCUCACAUGAACCUGUGAAGGGUGACUUUGUCAUUUUUCCAUGUAAGCAUGAUUCGCAACUAUCAUCUGACUUUAGGUCAAAUGACUCCAAGACUCCAUCCUUUUGGAGUUGACCUAUGUGUUUCUUGCUAAUAUGUCCAAGAUGACAAUGCCAUAAUGAUGCUUUAUCCAAGUCAUUAUUAAUAGAAUCAAUACACAAUACAUUAUUUCCUAAGUUAUCAACCACAGAUACUGUUUCAUGCACGCCAUCACAAGGUAAUGCUUUAAAAUAAGGAACAUUAUUAAAGAAAGCAUUAAUAGAACCAACUUCAUUAUGAAAUGAAAAGGUGAAACCUUGUUUGUACAAUGCAUGAAGGGAAAUAAUAUUUCUUGCCAUUUCUGGCGAAUAACAACAUUUAUUCAAAUCUAAAUUUAAUCCACUACUUAGCGAUAAAGUAUAAACUCCAAUCUUGGUGACAGGUGUAACUUUCCUAUUCCCCAUGAUUAAGUUUAUUCUUCCUUGCUCCACAUUCUCACUUCUUCCUAGUCCCUGCAAGUCACAACAAAUAUGAAUUCCGCAACCUGUAUCAAGGACCCAAGAUUUCGAAUGGGGUGAGUUAUUAGAAAUGAUAGUGUAAAUACCUGCAUGGUUGGGUUUGACUUUCCCAUCCUUUACAUCUUGCUGGUACUUUGGGCAGUUCCGCUUCCAAUGAGCUUUUUCGUGGCAAUAGAAGCAUUCAGCCUCUUUUGGGUCAGAAGAAGGAGUGACGAAACCUUUCAUGGUUCCACUUGAAGAAGAGCCAUCAAGGGUCCUAGCCUUGGUAUCCUUCGAAGAGCUCUUUCUCUUCUUCCCUCGAAUUUUCCUGUUUGCCAAAACCGGAGCGAAGUUUGGAGUCGGAGUGUUAACAACCGACUUCCCCUUAAGACCUGUUUCUGCUGUCUUGAGAAGACCCUCCCUGAAGUUUGCUGAUUGUGACCUCUUCCUUAUUCACGUGAUAUGUCAUGCGAAAUUGAUCAUAGCACGAUGGUAAGGAGUGCAAAAUGAUAUCUAUUGCAAGCUCCUCAGGGAACUUCACAUUAAGCUUCAGCAACCGAUCCACAUACCUUUGCAUUUUCUACAUGUGGCUUGUGACGGAUUCCCCGUCCUUCAUCAUGGUUGUUAUCAUGGAGCAGAUGAUUUCAUACCUCUCUUGUCAUGCACUUUGAUGGUAUCUUUCCAUCAAAUCUUAGUGCAUUUCAAAAGGGUAGAAGUCCUCAUAGGACUUUUGAAGUUCCGCUGUCAUCGUGGCCAUCAUGAUGCAUGCCACUUUGGUAGCAUCCCUUUCAUGUUCCUGGAAGUCAACGAUCUCCUGGGGAGUUGCAGUGGUCUCAUCAAUCUCCUUAAGCUCCUUGUCGAGGACAUAUUCUUUGUCCUCGUAGCGGGUAAUCAUCCUGAUGUUUCUGAUCCACUCAUUGAAGUUGGAUCCAUCAAAGGUGACUUUCCCACACAAGUUCAU
RNAcentral lists this long non-coding RNA (10020 nucleotides) under Lactuca sativa (garden lettuce). Its description in RNAcentral is "long non-coding RNA (LSAT_LNC003142)". The record is from RNAcentral. Lineage: Eukaryota; Viridiplantae; Streptophyta; Magnoliopsida; Asterales; Asteraceae.